UGGGGAAUAUUGGACAAUGGGCGAAAGCCUGAUCCAGCCAUGCCGCGUGUAUGAAGAAGGUCUUCGGAUUGUAAAGCACUUUAAGUUGGGAGGAAGGGCAUUAACCUAAUACGUUAGUGUUUUGACGUUACCGACAGAAUAAGCACCGGCUAACUCUGUGCCAGCAGCCGCGGUAAUACAGAGGGUGCAAGCGUUAAUCGGAAUUACUGGGCGUAAAGCGCGCGUAGGUGGUUUGUUAAGUUGGAUGUGAAAUCCCCGGGCUCAACCUGGGAACUGCAUUCAAAACUGACUGACUAGAGUAUGGUAGAGGGUGGUGGAAUUUCCUGUGUAGCGGUGAAAUGCGUAGAUAUAGGAAGGAACACCAGUGGCGAAGGCGACCACCUGGACUAAUACUGACACUGAGGUGCGAAAGCGUGGGGAGCAAACA
Molecule: ribosomal RNA, 427 nt
Filed under: uncultured bacterium
Lineage: Bacteria
Description: partial 16S ribosomal RNA
Rfam family: Bacterial small subunit ribosomal RNA
Source: RNAcentral